This 330-nucleotide ribosomal RNA is filed under the name uncultured Actinomycetes bacterium. RNAcentral describes it as "bacterial SSU rRNA". It matches the Rfam family "Bacterial small subunit ribosomal RNA", at positions 28 to 351 of the family's 1533-position model. The record is from RNAcentral. Lineage: Bacteria; Bacillati; Actinomycetota; Actinomycetes.
GACGAACGCUGGCGGCGUGCUUAACACAUGCAAGUGGUGCGACGAACCAGGGCUUGCCCUGGGGCAAAGCCGCGAACGGGUGAGUAACACGUGAGUAACCUGCCCCGAUGACCGGGACAACCCGAGGAAACUCGGGCUAAUACCGGAUGUGGCGCACAGAUAUAAGCCUGUGUGCUAAAGGAAGCUUCGGCCUCCGCAUUGGGAGGGGCUCGCGGCCCAUUAGCUUGUUGGUGGGGUAACGGCCUACCAAGGCAACGAUGGGUAGCUGGUCUGAGAGGACGAUCAGCCACACUGGGACUGAGACACGGCCCAGACUCCUACGGGAGGCAG